CCUACGGGAGGCAGCAGUGGGGAAUAUUGCACAAUGGGGGAAACCCUGAUGCAGCGACGCCGCGUGAAGGAAGAAGUAUUUCGGUAUGUAAACUUCUAUCAGCAGGGAAGAAAAUGACGGUACCUGACUAAGAAGCCCCGUCUAACUACGUGCCAGCAGCCGCGGUAAUACGUAGGGGGCAAGCGUUAUCCGGAUUUACUGGGUGUAAAGGGAGCGUAGGCGGUGCAGCAAGUCAGAAGUGAAAGCCCGGGGCUCAACUCCGGGACUGCUUUUGAAACUGUUGAACUAGAGUGCAGGAGAGGUAAGUGGAAUUCCUAGUGUAGCGGUGAAAUGCGUAGAUAUUAGGAGGAACACCAGUGGCGAAGGCGGCUUACUGGACUGUAAAUGACGCUGAGGCUCGAAAGCGUGGGGAGCAAACAGGAUUAGAUACCCCAGUAGUC
RNAcentral lists this ribosomal RNA (440 nucleotides) under uncultured bacterium. RNAcentral's name for it is "partial 16S ribosomal RNA". It matches the Rfam family "Bacterial small subunit ribosomal RNA", at positions 338 to 795 of the family's 1533-position model. The record is from RNAcentral.